Molecule: ribosomal RNA, 497 nt
Filed under: uncultured bacterium
Lineage: Bacteria
Description: partial 16S ribosomal RNA
Rfam family: Bacterial small subunit ribosomal RNA
Source: RNAcentral
GAUGAACGCUGGCGGCGUGCCUAAUACAUGCAAGUCGAGCGAACGGACGAGAAGCUUGCUUCUCUGAUGUUAGCGGCGGACGGGUGAGUAACACGUGGAUAACCUACCUAUAAGACUGGGAUAACUUCGGGAAACCGGAGCUAAUACCGGAUAAUAUUAUGAACCGCAUGGUUCAAAAGUGAAAGACGGUCUUGCUGUCACUUAUAGAUGGAUCCGCGCUGCAUUAGUUAGUUGGUAAGGUAACGGCUUACCAAGGCAACGAUGCAUAGCCGACCUGAGAGGGUGAUCGGCCACACUGGAACUGAGACACGGUCCAGACUCCUACGGGAGGCAGCAGUAGGGAAUCUUCCGCAAUGGGCGAAAGCCUGACGGAGCAACGCCGCGUGAGUGAUGAAGGUCUUCGGAUCGUAAAACUCUGUUAUUAGGGAAGAACAUAUGUGUAAGUAACUGUGCACAUCUUGACGGUACCUAAUCAGAAAGCCACGGCUAACUACGCG